ACUCCUGUUUAUUUUUGUGUUUUGUUGUCGAAAUUGUUUAGUUAAUUUUGAGGUUUACUUGGUUUAUUCACAGUAUAGAAUAUUCUGGUUUAUUUAAAAAUUUAAUAUUAUAUCACAGUUUUAUUAUAGUGUAUAUUGUAAAUAUGUCAUGCUUUCUUAGAAACCAUAGAAACUGCAAAAAUGUUAAGACUCGUGCCUAUAAAUUCCGAAGUGACAUUUUCUCGUUUUGCUAGAAAGGGAAAAAUAUUUGGGAAAUGGCUUAUUGCCAUUGAUAUGGGAUGGAAUGAAACCAUUACAUGGUCAAAGACUAUGUUUAUUUGUUCCCUUCAUUUUAAUAAUAAUUAUAUCAAAACGGAAAACGGAAAAUUCUCAUAAAAGAAUCCUUCCCUUUAUUGAAAAGAACAUUGAAGAUGAAAACAAACCAUUGAUAUCAAAAAUUAUCGAACCUUUACCAUCAACUUCAGAAAUAAAAACGAUUGAACCUACAAGUUUAUCCCAUAUAUUGUUAACAUCUUUGCCUUCGAUGUUAUCUGUUUCCAAAAGAAAAAUUACAAAGGAUGGCAAUGGGAGUGAAAAUUUAUAUUUCACUUGUGCAACAGUUUGGGCUUAAUCAAGAAAUGACUCAAGUGCAGAUAGACAAAGAAAAUUUUUACAGGCUGAACACACCUAUUUAGUAAGAUAGUAGACGUCAAAAUAUGAAAUAACCACCUAGUCAUCCGUACGAAUGAGGAGGGCGAACCCAAUCGAGUAGAGUCUACGGAAGUGAAUUAUUGGAGACUCACCAGGAAACCCAGGAGGCAGCAGAAAACACCCUUGAGAACGGAGACAAUCAUCAUCAUGUUAGGAGUCAUGGGCUGGUGCCAAACCAGCCCUGGAUAAACAAGCUAUCUCUCUAGAUCUCCAACAUGUGCCAUCAACCAGGUCUGGAGACCAUGAGGUCAGCAAGUGGAUAAAGGACAAACAACGCCAGGAAGGCCAACUCACCAUCAACGGAGACUCGCCAGCACCUCAAGAAGGAUACUGGCAGUACGAGUCAAAAUAUGUUAAAUAUAUUAUAUAGUGCUAUUAUGUUUUUUAGAUCGAGAUAUCUGAGUUUUUACUAAUUUUCAGAACCCCUAUUUGGAUAUAUUCUAUAUUCAACUUUUUAUGACCUAUUCAUUACGGAACACCCUAUAUAUUAUUAUUAUUUAUUUAUUUAUUAUUUUUAUGUUUUAAGUGUGAAUAAACU
This is a long non-coding RNA of Anoplophora glabripennis (Asian longhorned beetle), 1228 nucleotides long. RefSeq lists it as uncharacterized. NCBI's taxonomy places the organism in Eukaryota, Metazoa, Arthropoda, Insecta, Coleoptera, Cerambycidae. The transcript is spliced from 4 exons. The record is from RefSeq and is a predicted model, not a curated record.